This 547-nucleotide ribosomal RNA is filed under the name uncultured bacterium. Its description in RNAcentral is "bacterial SSU rRNA". It matches the Rfam family "Bacterial small subunit ribosomal RNA", at positions 69 to 645 of the family's 1533-position model. The record is from RNAcentral.
GAGACAUAUGUUGAAUUGAAUCAUUCGAGCAGCGGACGGGUGAGUAAAGCACAAGGACUUGUCCGAAAGAGAGGGACACCUGCGGGAAACCGGAGCUAAUACCUCAUUAGCCGGAAGGUGAAAAGCAGAGAUGCGCUUUUGGAGAGACUUGUGUCCUAUCAGGCAGUUGGUGAGGUGAAAGCUCACCAAACCGAAGACGGGUAGCCGGACUGAGAGGUCGACCGGCCACAUUGGAACUGAGAGACGGUCCAGACUCCUACGGGAGGCAGCAGUGGGGAAUAUUGGGCAAUGGGCGGAAGCCUGACCCAGCGACGCCGCGUGAGGGAAGACAGCCUUCGGGUUGUAAACCUCUGUUGCAGGGGAAGGAGGAAGUGACGGUACCCUGCGAGGAAGCUCCGGCUAACUACGUGCCAGCAGCCGCGGUAAUACGUAGGGAGCGAGCGUUGUCCGGAAUUACUGGGCGUAAAGGGCGCGUAGGCGGCGCUUCAAGUCGUCUGUCAAAUGGAAGGGCUUAACCCUUUUUCGCAGACGAAACUGGAGAGCUUGA